ACACAAACAAAAAAACACAUCCUCAAAUUCUAGAUCAUCAAUCCAAAUACUCAUUGAAAAACAUAUCAAAUCCCAAAAAAAAUUUCUUGAUUACCUUAACCAUAAUAGGCAUCUCAGUUUCCACAACCCUCUUAGCUAGAUUUCCAAAAGAACCCAUUUUUCUUUUCACACACAACAGAAGAAACAAGUUCCAAAUUUGGGAUUUGAAGUGAAAAAGAAAAACCACAAUGAAGUACUAGUCUUGUUGAAGAAGAAAACGAAAACGUCAACCUAACAAAAAGUAUUCAACUUUGCAACGCCACGCUUCACCAACCCAUCCACCAUUAAACUAUAGUACAAGUAAAUCUAAUCCAAAAGGGAAAAAGACGAAAACCUUUUAAUGUUUAUUAAUUUAACACAUAAGAUAAAAAAAUUGAUAAAAAAAAAUGAAACUUUUUGGUUUCUCUUUCCUCUUUGCGUUUGUUUAACGCUAAUUAAAUGAUAAAUUUUGUAUCUUUAAAGAGUGUUGAAAAAUGGGUAUGAAGAAAAAGUGUGAAAAAUGCUUGAAAAAAGUGAUUGGGUUUUCACUGAAAUCGGAGUUCCUAAGAAAGUGGGUUUUUGUGAAAUUUGUGUAUGUCUGUUGUCAUUGUCUUGGUUUUCAGUGUGUGAGUCUGCACAGACAAAACGACAGAGAGGACCACUUCAA
RNAcentral lists this long non-coding RNA (685 nucleotides) under Trifolium pratense (red clover). Its description in RNAcentral is "long non-coding RNA (TPRA_LNC009654)". Lineage: Eukaryota; Viridiplantae; Streptophyta; Magnoliopsida; Fabales; Fabaceae. The record is from RNAcentral.